GAUAAAAACCGGAUUUUGGAGGCUGUCAAGGCAAACUUCAAUGACAAGUAUGAAGAGUACAGGAAGAAGUGGGGUGGUGGAAUAAUGGGAUCAAAAUUACAAGCAAAGACCAAGGCAAAAGAGAGAGUUCUUGCCAAAGAGGCUGCUCAGAGAAUGAACUAGACUGAAUUUGGUAAUAUUUUGAGAUUUUGAAACAUUUUGUUACUUUUUAAGAAUCUUGUUCUUCCAUUUUCAGUUUUUGGGAGGUCAAUUACUCAUGUAUGCUUCUUAUUGUAUGUGUUUGGUUUUUGGUUCUGUGACAGUUGAUUCAAUUCUAGAAAAUUUUAACCAGUUUUACCUUCUGU
Long non-coding RNA from Helianthus annuus (common sunflower), 344 nucleotides. RefSeq lists it as uncharacterized. The transcript is spliced from 2 exons. Lineage: Eukaryota; Viridiplantae; Streptophyta; Magnoliopsida; Asterales; Asteraceae. The record is from RefSeq and is a predicted model, not a curated record.